Molecule: ribosomal RNA, 165 nt
Filed under: uncultured bacterium
Lineage: Bacteria
Description: partial 16S ribosomal RNA
Rfam family: Bacterial small subunit ribosomal RNA
Source: RNAcentral
UGAGCAAUCUGCCCUUCUCAUCGGAANAAGCGUUGGAAACGACGUCUAAUGCCGAAUACGACCUCCUUUCGCAUGAUCGGAGGUGGAAAGCUCCGGCGGAGAAGGAUGAGCUCGCGGCCUAUCAGCUAGUUGGUGUGGGUAAUGGCCCACCAAGGCGACGACGGG